Molecule: ribosomal RNA, 446 nt
Filed under: uncultured bacterium
Lineage: Bacteria
Description: SSU rRNA
Rfam family: Bacterial small subunit ribosomal RNA
Source: RNAcentral
AGAGCGAACGCUGGCGGCAGGCUUAACACAUGCAAGUCGAGCGGACGUAGCAAUACGUCAGCGGCAGACGGGUGAGUAACGCGUGGGAACGUACCUUUUGGUUCGGAACAACACAGGGAAACUUGUGCUAAUACCGAAUACGCCCUUACGGGGAAAGAUUUAUCGCCGAAAGAUCGGCCCGCGUCUGAUUAGCUAGUUGGUGGGGUAACGGCCCACCAAGGCGACGAUCAGUAGCUGGUCUGAGAGGAUGAUCAGCCACAUUGGGACUGAGACACGGCCCAAACUCCUACGGGAGGCAGCAGUGGGGAAUAUUGGACAAUGGGCGCAAGCCUGAUCCAGCCAUGCCGCGUGAGUGAUGAAGGCCCUAGGGUUGUAAAGCUCUUUGUGCGGGAAGAUAAUGACGGUACCGCAAGAAUAAGCCCGGCUAACUUCGCGCCAGCAGCCGC